This is a long non-coding RNA of Propithecus coquereli (Coquerel's sifaka), 376 nucleotides long. RefSeq lists it as uncharacterized. The transcript has 2 exons. Lineage: Eukaryota; Metazoa; Chordata; Mammalia; Primates; Indriidae. The record is from RefSeq and is a predicted model, not a curated record.
GAGUCCAAUGUGCUGAUUGCUGCUAACAGUCAGGGUACAAUUAAGGUGCUAGAGUUGGUAUGAAGGCUUUAUUCAAGUCAAAUUGUACUUGAUCCUGCUGAAACACAUCUGCAGCCGACAACAAGAGAAGAAACAGAAACUGUCGUGACGUCUCUCCCCGAAGUCGUCAUGGGUUUUGAGUAUUUUUUCUUUUUCCUUUUUUCCUCCUUUAUGACCUUUGGGACAUUGGGAAUGCCCAGCAAACUCUCCGCCAUCGAUGUAACUCCACAGACUUUGCUGCUGUUGGUGGUGUGAUUAUCUAAUUUUUGUGAUAGGGAAACAAAUUCUUUUGAAUAAAACUAAAUAACAAAAAAUAAUAAAAGUUUAUUGAGCCACA